AAUGGGUCAGCGACUUAUAUUCUGUAGCAAGGUUAACCGAAUAGGGGAGCCGAAGGGAAACCGAGUCUUAACUGGGCGUUAAGUUGCAGGGUAUAGACCCGAAACCCGGUGAUCUAGCCAUGGGCAGGUUGAAGGUUGGGUAACACUAACUGGAGGACCGAACCGACUAAUGUUGAAAAAUUAGCGGAUGACUUGUGGCUGGGGGUGAAAGGCCAAUCAAACCGGGAGAUAGCUGGUUCUCCCCGAAAGCUAUUUAGGUAGCGCCUCGUGAAUUCAUCUCCGGGGGUAGAGCACUGUUUCGGCAAGGGGGUCAUCCCGACUUACCAACCCGAUGCAAACUGCGAAUACCGGAGAAUGUUAUCACGGGAGACACACGGCGGGUGCUAACGUCCGUCGUGAAGAGGGAAACAACCCAGACCGCCAGCUAAGGUCCCAAAGUCAUGGUUAAGUGGGAAACGAUGUGGGAAGGCCCAGACAGCCAGGAUGUUGGCUUAGAAGCAGCCAUCAUUUAAAGAAAGCGUAAUAGCUCACUGGUCGAGUCGGCCUGCGCGGAAGAUGUAACGGGGCUAAACCAUGCACCGAAGCUGCGGCAGCGACACUAUGUGUUGUUGGGUAGGGGAGCGUUCUGUAAGCCUGUGAAGGUGUACUGUGAGGUAUGCUGGAGGUAUCAGAAGUGCGAAUGCUGACAUAAGUAACGAUAAAGCGGGUGAAAAGCCCGCUCGCCGGAAGACCAAGGGUUCCUGUCCAACGUUAAUCGGGGCAGGGUGAGUCGACCCCUAAGGCGAGGCCGAAAGGCGUAGUCGAUGGGAAACAGGUUAAUAUUCCUGUACUUGGUGUUACUGCGAAGGGGGGACGGAGAAGGCUAUGUUGGCCGGGCG
This 878-nucleotide ribosomal RNA is filed under the name Escherichia coli. Its description in RNAcentral is "partial 23S ribosomal RNA". It matches the Rfam family "Bacterial large subunit ribosomal RNA", at positions 614 to 1497 of the family's 2925-position model. Lineage: Bacteria; Pseudomonadati; Pseudomonadota; Gammaproteobacteria; Enterobacterales; Enterobacteriaceae. The record is from RNAcentral.